This is an RNA transcript of Homo sapiens (human), 3527 nucleotides long. RefSeq lists it as uncharacterized. The record is from RefSeq and is a predicted model, not a curated record. The transcript has 2 exons. NCBI's taxonomy places the organism in Eukaryota, Metazoa, Chordata, Mammalia, Primates, Hominidae.
AACAUUCAUGCUGGGCCAGAUCAUGCUUUUUGACAAUGUCUAACGAGCUAGCAGUGAAUGAUAAAUCUGCCGGGCCGCCUCUGUGUCUCAAAGCCACUAGGAUCUGCAGCUGUUUCAAGAGCACAGAACAAGAAAGCCUCCAGGAAAGGGGGAAAGAGCGGCAUCUGAGCUUGGAGGAAGUCAUUUCUGUGAAAAUCUUUUAAUGCAACAGGGAGCUAAGCAAGUGGGCUGUGUGUGCUGUGGAAGGUGGCGAUGUUGGGGUCUUGCCUCCUGCAGUGGAUGCCGGCGACAGGGCCUCGGGUGGCUCUCUUAGGACCCACAGGCCCUGCAUCUGGAUUGGUCAAGUCCCAGGGGCCAGGCCUGCCUCAGAGGUCCUGGGCAUUUCACGGCUGGAGGGCACUGCGGAGGUCCAUCUGCUGCCCCAUGGAGGAGAGCGGGUGCUCAGACACCAAUCUUGGUGCCCAAUCAUUUCCCCUCCUCUGACCUUGAGGGAAAAAGCCAAGAUGCAGCCUCUGGACACCAACCUUGAGACAUUCUCAGCUCUCAGCUCAUCAGCAGAGCCUGGACUCAUUACUCCAGGGAAGAAGCUCUGCUUCCGUGGGCCAGGGGUGAACUGUACUACUAAUACGGUACAAACGAGGGAAAGGUUCUCUUUGGAUGAGUCUUCCAGCUGCCAAGUGGGGAAUGAUGGCAUGAGAAUACUGCCCUUUUGCACCUCCUGAUCAAUGAAUCAAAGCAAUGUCACCAAUGGCAGAUUAUACCCCACAUAAAGGUAGACCCUCAAGCCAGGGUGAAUGAUCAAACUUGGAUCUGACACAGCGUCCAGAGCCAGCUACCAGCUACAGGAAGCACAGGCCGCAGAGUGCUGAGCUGAAUGAUGCCCAGACACAGCCAGCACGGUCCCGGAGGUGGCAGGCUCUGCAGGACAGACGGCCAUGUCGUUGCAGGUAAAUCACAUGGAAAGGGGGAGACGGGAGAACCCCAGCAUCCCACCGCAGGGUCCAGACGCACGCACACUGAUUCCAACACGCUGCAGUUAGCGGUGGGUGCUCGUGGAUAACUAGGGCCUGUGAAGGCUGACUGUGAAGUUGACAGUUUGAUUGAUCUGAUGGAAUGAUUGAUAGCUUUUUAAACACGACAGUGGGACUGUGGUUAUGGUUUGCUAAACACAGCUUAUCUUUUUAGACAUGUAGGGGGUUAUUUAUGGAAGAAAUAAUGUGAGGUGUGGGACUUGCCUAGCAUAAUGGGAUAGCUGGGGACUUUCUCUUCACUGACCCUUGCUUUCUGGGUGUCCUCAGAAAGGCUGUGUCUUUAGUCACAGUGUGUGACAUUCUACAUUCAUUCUGAAUCCCUCGCCUGAAUUGGUGCUUGCUGGAACCAGAUAGGUUCACUAUACUAUGCUUCCUAUUUAAAAGUUCUAAAAUGCAAUAGAAGAAAAUAGGAGAAUAUUUUUGUAACUGGGAGGUAGAAAAAUUUCCUAAGCAAUGCAAGAAACUCUGAAGCCCCCAAAUAACAAAACUUUUCUAUGACAACAUCUGCCAUAAGGAAAAGGGAAGGGGAGCCUGGAAGAAGAUAUUCACAGCGUACGACCCAAGAUAGCCGCCCACACGGCACGGAAACCCACAAAAUGGAAAGACGGGGAGACCCAGGACUCCGGAGAAACAUGAAUACAACAACUCAAAUGGCCAGCCUCGCUUGUCCUGGGAAACGCCCAGUUAGAAAGGCAGCAGAAUACAUCUCACCCAUGAGACUGGCGGAAAGGAGCAGGGUGGAUGGGGUGCUGGCGCUCUGUUGGUGGAACAGAGGCUGGUAACAUCUUUCAGAAGGAAACACAGCCACAUUGAUUCACAUGGAAAUGCAUUUGCUCUAACUGAACAAUUCAGUUCCCAGAAAUCAACUCUAAAAGCCUCUUGCCCACUGACAGCUUCAUAUUGUGCGAGCUGGGCACCCUGUGGCUUCCAUUUCUGGUGUUUGUGCUGCAUCAGCUUUGCUCCUUUGGGACUGGGUUUCCCAAACGCUCUUCCCGCCUUGUUCUGAGUGGUGGGAGCCACACAAGACGUCUGACGUUUGAGGAGAUUGGGAAGCAGAAGUGUGGCAGCCCCCACACACCCAAAGCAAGCAGCUACCACAAACGCACUCGCCCCUCUGGGGUGGGCAGCAGGACGGUCCCCACAGGACCCUCAUCCAGCAGCCGCUGGGGCUUCCCGCAGCUCCCAUGUCACUGAACCUGGAGGGGGCUCAGGGUCCUCACUGCUCACUGAACCUGGAGGGGGCUCAGGAUCCUCACUGCUCACUGAGGCUGGAGGGGGCUCAGGGUCCUCAAAGCUCACUGAACCUGGAGGGGGCUCAGGGUCCUCACUGCUCACCGAGGCUGGAGGGUCUCAGUGUCCUCACUGCCUGCUUUGCCUUGCAGUCCUUCUGGGCACAGCCCUGCUGGUCUCCAGCCUGUUUCUCAUGCUCUGCUUCACAACAGGUCAACUUCUGUAAUAUUGCCCUUGAAGGUGGACGUGCAAGCCUGUUCCAUCCUCUUGUCCAACAAGGCGAAGGUGUGAGUUUCCUCACGGAGAGCCUGCUGGCUUAGAGGAGAUGCUCACCUGGGAAUCCGGCUCAGUCACAUCACCUGGGAACCCGGCUCAGUCACAUCACCUGGGAACCCCGCUCUGUCACAUCACCUGGGAACCCAGCUAAGUCACAUCACCUGGGAACCUGGCUCAGUCACAUCACCUGGGAACCUGGCUCAGUCACAUCACCUGGGAAUCUGGCUCAGUCACAUCACCUGGGAAUCUGGAUCACUCACAGGGUGCUUUAGCCUGAGCUAUAGAUGUUCUGAUUUGAAUCACUGGCCAGGACUGAAACAUGGGUUCAUUUCAGAUCAAACCUGGAUUUCUUGCUUCUCUUGGAAAAAUUUGGCCACGUUGGGGCCACACUCCCACAUAGGAAUAACCUCGUGUAUAAGGGGGUGCAGCUAUUGACUCCCCACACACAGAGGUGUCUGCAGGGGCCACAGUGCCUCCCACCCCCGUGGGGUCCAUGCUCAGGCCUAAGGCAGAGCCCCCACUAGUGAUGGGCAGGGCAGAUGGAGGCUCCUGGUGAGGUUCCCGUGAGAAACAAGGAAGGACACGGGAAGGAAAGGAGGGAGGGGGGAGAGACAGAGACAGAGAGAGAGAGAAACACUGGGACGUUCUCCCCUCCAUCCCGGGCACACACAGGGUUUUCUGUGUGUCUAUAACAUGCUGUGUGUGAUGGUGACGACCAAGGGUUGGCAAUCGCCUUUCUCAGAUGGAUCUGAGAGUGGCCCUGCUCCGAUAUAGUCCCAGCUGUGCUUUAAAGCCUUUGCCACUCCAAAUUCACUCAGGGUAGAUAGUGCUCAGCGUAGCACAUGAGGGCACACAGAACUCUAGAGGCAGCGAGUGCCCCAGGGGCAGUGGCACAGACAAGCUUCCCACAUACACAGGGAGCCCAAGAUACAGACAGCCCCAUCACAUAACAGAUCACAUACACAUUGGCGUGGAGCCGUUUCUGAGCUG